GAUGAAGAACGUAGUGAAAUGCGAUAAGUAAUGUGAAUUGCAGAAUUCAGUGAAUCAUCGAAUCUUUGAACGCACCUUGCGCUCCUUGGUAUUCCGAGGAGCAUGCCUGUUUGAGUGUCAUUAAAUUCUCAACCUUUAUCUUUUAUUGAUAAAUGGCUUGGACUUGGGGGUUUGCUGGCGAAAGUCAGCUCCUCUGAAAUGUAUUAGCUGGUUGCCUUGUGUGAACUUGUCUAUUGGUGUGAUAAUUAUCUACGCCGUGGGCUGUUUGCCGUUUUAGCACUGCUUCUAACUGUCUGUUAACUCGGACAAUAUAUGACAAUUUGACCUCAAAUCAGGUAGGACUACCCGCUGAACUUAAGCAUAUCAAUAAGCGGAGGA
Molecule: unclassified non-coding RNA, 378 nt
Filed under: soil metagenome
Description: partial contains 5.8S ribosomal RNA, internal transcribed spacer 2, and large subunit ribosomal RNA
Rfam family: 5.8S ribosomal RNA (bases 1-120)
Source: RNAcentral